Molecule: ribosomal RNA, 253 nt
Filed under: uncultured bacterium
Lineage: Bacteria
Description: partial 16S ribosomal RNA
Rfam family: Bacterial small subunit ribosomal RNA
Source: RNAcentral
UACGGGGGGGGCGAGCGUUGUUCGGAAUUAUUGGGCGUAAAGGGCGCGUAGGCGGUGCGGUAAGUCUGAUGUGAAACCUCCAGGCUCAACUUGGAGCUUGCAUCAGAAACUGCCGUGCUAGAGUGUGGGAGAGGAAAGUGGAAUUCCCGGUGUAGCGGUGAAAUGCGUAGAUAUCGGGAGGAACAUCGGUGGCGAAGGCGGCUUUCUGGACCACAACUGACGCUGAGGCGCGAAAGCCAGGGGAGCAAACAGG